Molecule: ribosomal RNA, 1598 nt
Filed under: Penicillium sp. CF-24
Lineage: Eukaryota; Fungi; Ascomycota; Eurotiomycetes; Eurotiales; Aspergillaceae
Also listed under: 1 other name
Description: partial 18S ribosomal RNA
Rfam family: Eukaryotic small subunit ribosomal RNA
Source: RNAcentral
CCAAGAUUAAGCCAUGCAUGUCUAAGUAUAAGCACUCUUUUACUGUGAAACUGCGAAUGGCUCAUUAAAUCAGUUAUCGUUUAUUUGAUAGUACCCUACUACAUGGAUACCUGUGGUAAUUCUAGAGCUAAUACAUGCGCAAAACCCCGACUUCGGAAGGGGUGUAUUUAUUAGAUAAAAAACCAAUGCCCUUCGGGGCUCCUUGGUGAUUCAUAAUAACUUCACGAAUCGCAUGGCCUUGCGCCGGCGAUGGUUCAUUCAAAUUUCUGCCCUAUCAACUUUCGAUGGUAGGAUAGUGGCCUACCAUGGUGGCAACGGGUAACGGGGAAUUAGGGUUCGAUUCCGGAGAGGGAGCCUGAGAAACGGCUACCACAUCCAAGGAAGGCAGCAGGCGCGCAAAUUACCCAAUCCCGAUACGGGGAGGUAGUGACAAUAAAUACUGAUACAGGGCUCUUUUGGGUCUUGUAAUUGGAAUGAGAACAAUCUAAAUCCCUUAACGAGGAACAAUUGGAGGGCAAGUCUGGUGCCAGCAGCCGCGGUAAUUCCAGCUCCAAUAGCGUAUAUUAAAGUUGUUGCAGUUAAAAAGCUCGUAGUUGAACCUUGGGCCCGUCCUGCCGGUCCGCCUCACCGCGAGUACUGGUCCGGAUGGGCCUUUCUUUCUGGGGAAUCCCAUGGCCUUCACUGGCUGUGGCGGGGAACCAGGACUUUUACUGUGAAAAAAUUAGAGUGUUCAAAGCAGGCCUUUGCUCGGAUACAUUAGCAUGGAAUAAUAGAAUAGGACGUGCGGUUCUAUUUUGUUGGUUUCUAGGACCGCCGUAAUGAUUAAUAGGGAUAGUCGGGGGCGUCAGUAUUCAGCUGUCAGAGGUGAAAUUCUUGGAUUUGCUGAAGACUAACUACUGCGAAAGCAUUCGCCAAGGAUGUUUUCAUUAAUCAGGGAACGAAAGUUAGGGGAUCGAAGACGAUUUAAGCAGUAAAUUUAGGCUUCAUCUCCUGCGAGAUGGGCCUAAAUUGGUAUUUGGUCGUCAAAAGUAAGCUCAAAGUGUCUUGCUAGUCUCCCCUCCAGGGGAGGCAACACCGUCAAACUGCGGGAACGUCCUAAAGCCUGAGCUACCAAGCUGCCGCCGAAAGGUGUCAGUGGCCGGGGUAAUGACCCAGGGUAUGGUAACAACGCUCAGGAUGUGACAAUGGAUAACCUGCAACCAAGCGCUACAGCCCCCCGGGCCACGCGUGCAGUUCACAGACUAGAUGUCGGUGGGGGAUCCGUCCCUUAAGAUAUAGUCGAAGCCCAGGGUGAAAGCCUGGGAUCAGUUGCAGAUACCGUCGUAGUCUUAACCAUAAACUAUGCCGACUAGGGAUCGGGCGGGGUUUCUAUGAUGACCCGCUCGGCACCUUACGAGAAAUCAAAGUUUUUGGGUUCUGGGGGGAGUAUGGUCGCAAGGCUGAAACUUAAAGAAAUUGACGGAAGGGCACCACAAGGCGUGGAGCCUGCGGCUUAAUUUGACUCAACACGGGGAAACUCACCAGGUCCAGACAAAUAAGGAUUGACAGAUUGAGAGCUCUUUCUUGAUCUUUUGGAUGGUGUUGCAUGGGCCGUUCUU